This 650-nucleotide ribosomal RNA is filed under the name uncultured bacterium. RNAcentral's name for it is "bacterial SSU rRNA". It matches the Rfam family "Bacterial small subunit ribosomal RNA", at positions 35 to 662 of the family's 1533-position model. The record is from RNAcentral.
GUUUGGCGGGGUUGCCUAUACAUGCAGUCGAACGCACGAAGUUGAAGAGCUUGCUCUUUAACCAAGUGAGUGGCGGACGGGUGAGUAACACGUGGGUAACCUGCCCAUUAGAGGGGGAUAACAUUCGGAAACGGAUGCUAAUACCGCAUAGUUUCAGGAAUCGCAUGAUUCUUGAAGGAAAGGUGGCUUCGGCUACCACUAAUGGAUGGACCCGCGGCGUAUUAGCUAGUUGGUGAGGUAAUGGCUCACCAAGGCAAUGAUACGUAGCCGACCUGAGAGGGUGAUCGGCCACACUGGGACUGAGACACGGCCCAGACUCCUACGGGAGGCAGCAGUAGGGAAUCUUCCGCAAUGGACGAAAGUCUGACGGAGCAACGCCGCGUGAGUGAAGAAGGUUUUCGGAUCGUAAAACUCUGUUGUUAAAGAAGAACAAGGAUGAGAGUAACUGCUCAUCUCCUGACGGUAUUUAACCAGAAAGCCACGGCUAACUACGUGCCAGCAGCCGCGGUAAUACGUAGGUGGCAAGCGUUGUCCGGAUUUAUUGGGCGUAAAGCGAGCGCAGGCGGUUCUUUAAGUCUGAUGUGAAAGCCCCCGGCUCAACCGGGGAGGGUCAUUGGAAACUGGAGAACUUGAGUGCAGAAGAGGAGAGU